Molecule: long non-coding RNA, 4104 nt
Organism: Hypanus sabinus (Atlantic stingray)
Lineage: Eukaryota; Metazoa; Chordata; Chondrichthyes; Myliobatiformes; Dasyatidae
Exons: 9
Source: RefSeq, a predicted model, not a curated record
CCCAGCUGCUCGCUCCUAAAAGUGGGCCUCAUUUAAAACUCCGCGCUGGCGGCCAACGUCACCCGCACCUGCGCAGUUUCACCUUCCUCCUCAGGUUCUGUCCAGGUAGGUCCGACGGUCUCGGCCUACCUCCAACGGCUGAUCCUCCGAUCUCCAGUCGCCUGUCGACCUCGAACACUCCUUGCUCCCGCUCUUAAAAGUGGGCCUCUUUUUAAACUCCGUGCUUGCUGCUGACGUCACUCGCGCCAGCACAGUUUUACCUUCCUCCUCAGGUACUGUCCAGGUGAUUGAACCACUUUCACAGUAACUGAUGGAACAGAAGAAGAAAGGUUGAAUAUAUACGCCCUUGUAAAAACAUGAACAGUCUUCACUAUUUACACAGAAUCCAUUUUCAUUCAUGUACUUGCCCUCAGGACAGCCACAGCCAUAAACUGGAGUAUCCUUCACAUUACAGUCACCCAACUUCUUUCAAAGCAACGAAACAGACUGCAAAUUACUGAACAUGGGGUUCUGAUACACUUUCUGAAUGACAUUCAGCCUGAUGUUGAGAAGCUGAUAUCACUGCACCAAGCCCAUCCAUCUCAAUGAAAGAUAUGAGUGAAUUUCAAGAUACACUUGCAUCCGGAAUUUGGAGCUCUUGCUUUUUUUAUGGGUAUCUAGAGGAAAAGAAAAAAUACCCUUGCUAUAAGAGUUGAAAAUUACAAGCAAUCUAAAUGUAACUGGUGGAUCAAGCACACUGAACAUAAUGUACUUACGAUGGUUUUCUCUUCCCUUUUGGACACUAUCUGCUGAGCGCCUGAACAUUUGGAUUAUGCAUUGCAUUGAACUGCUGCUGCUAAGUUAACAAAUUUCACAUCACACGCCAGUGACAAUAUACCUGAUUGUGAUUCUGAUUAUUGUCUGGAGGAAGUGGAAACUGGAGGACCAUAAGUCAGUCCUCAUUAGAGGAUCAGAAGUGGAGAGGAUCUUGGCGUUAUCAUUUCAGAGGAUCUGCCUGGAAUCAGCAUAUACAGAAAUUCCAUUCAAUGCGAUACAAAUGCCACACAUUUCCUUGAAAACAAUAAUCAAAUAUCUACAGCCCUCCAAGAUGGAAUUUUCAAAGCUUCAGCAUGUUUCAAACAAAGAACAUUAUCUUGCCUAAAUCCCAGGUAGCCACAAAGCAAGAAACGCAAAAGAACCCAAUUUCAAGAAAAAAAAGAAUAAAAAUAAAAAUAGAAGACAAACACUCAAUGCGCAAAAGAAAGUAAAAAAUUACAAGUCAUGCAAGAAAUUGAAGUGAACAACAGCAUUCUGAACAAAAAGCGAGUCUAUAGAUCUGAACCACAAAGCAGCCUGGAGUAGGCCCAAAGCCUCGCUUUCAGUUCAUCACACUAGCGGGCAUACAGCACCGCAGCCACAGCAGUCUUCAUUGCCUCAGCGCCAUGGAGAAAGGAGAGGCCAUUGCGGAGAAUGAGUGAAAUCAGCUCUCAUCCCAAGCAACACCCGAUGCUUUCCAGUGACUCGCUUCAAGCCCAGAUUUCGACGCCCAGCCCGAAGCCACUCUCAAGCUCUACAGAUCAGCUCAGAGCCCAAUAUGAUCCAAUUUCACACAUGAGACAGUUGUACAGACAUUGGAACCCCAUCUGCAUUGAUUCAUCCCAGACAUUCCACUCUGCAAAUACUCAUUUCAGGGAGGUAGCACCACCACCCCCGCACCCCCCCAACCCAAUAGCCAUACCAACCCCCUCUCCCGGUUGACCUCCAAGGUUGUAUGUAUACAGGAAAUUUGAUUAUGAAAGAACACACAAUAUAUUUGAUCACAUAUUGAAACUAUUUACACAAAAAUAUUCCUUGUUGAGUAUUUUGUUGGCAGUCUCAAUGCUAAUAGCUAAAUGCUAAUGCAAAUAGCUUUUCUAUUUCUUUUUCAAACUUUCCUUGUACUGUGAUGUGGCUUGCUUGGUAGAACCAUAAACAGUGCUGGUUAUUAGAAAUGUAGGGCUGGGCUGUUGACCACGACCCCAACCUCCCAGAAUCUCACACUGCACCUACCUAAGGGGUCAGCCAUCCUUGACAACCCCAGAGUCAGUAACAAGGUCUAAAAGUCCUGGUGGUGGUCGUUGCCGCUGCCUGGAGCGGUGCCCAGCGCCAGUGCAGGGGAAGGGGCUCAGGAUGUUCACUCCUGGGGCCCCAGCCAGGUACAGCUGCAUUGGCUCUCGAGACUGGGACGCAGCAAUGCACAAACAGCACCACGUGCUGCCUGUACCCAGGCCAGCAGAAGUGUUAAUGCAGCUUGCCCAGUGUCUUUGCCAUCCCAAAAAUGGCUGGCACCCUGCAGCCCCCCCCCACCCCCCCCCCCCACACACACACACACACACACACACACACACACACACACACACUAUAUAUAUACUCCUUGUUGAGUAUUUUGUUGGCAGUCUCAAUGCUAAUAACUAAAUGCUAAUGCAGACUGAUGGACAAUGAAAGAGAGAUAGAGGUUGAUUGUAAUGCCCGCCCACAGAGAAAACUGAUAGGUCUACUUAGCACAAAGAGGGAGCAAUCACUCUCUUGCUAUGUCUGUCACUUGCACUCUCUGUCUCUCUAACUCUCUCUCUCCCCCCCCCCCCCCACCAUCUCCCUCUUCCUCUCACUCACUCGCUCUCAAAAAAAUCAAUUUCCGGAAUAUUGUAUAUAAUUUGCGGGCAUCAGGAAGCCGCUAUCAUUAUGUGGGAGACUCCUGGAACUUCUGGGAGAGGUGGGAUGUCUGUCAUCCCCUGAACUCACUUUGUCAUCAUUCGCUCUUUCACUGUUUGCAAAUAUAAUUUAACACAAUUUUCCUGGGAAAAAGGUAUUUUUAGUGAUGUUUUUACUCAGAUGUCUUAACUAUUUGACUACCAGGAAGUUGUCGCACACGUUCAGUAGUGCCAUCUUAACUGGAAGGGUUAACAUUCUCUCCAUAUAGGCCUUUCAAUAUUCAAUACGAUACAACAUGAUCCUCCCUCAUUCUACUAAACUCAAAGUUCAAAGUAAAUUUAUUAUCAAAGUCCAUCCAUUAUAUGUCACCAUAUAAAACUCUGAGAUUCAUUUUCUUGCAGGCAUACUCAAUACAUCAAAUAACCAUAACAGAAUCAACUGCAUCAACAAGGUGGAAAAUCAAUGUGCAAAAGGCAUCAAACUCUGCAAAUACAAAAAGAAAGAGAAAGGAUAAUAAAUCAGUAAACAAUAAAUGUUGAGAACAUGAGAUGAGUCCUUGAAAACAAGUCAAUAGGUAGUGGAAACAUUUCAGUGGUGGAGCAAGUGAAGUUGAGUGAAGUUAAUCCCACUGGUUCAAGAACCCGAUGGUUGAGGGUUAUUAACUAUGUGGUGGUGAGUCCUGAGGCUCCCACACUUUCUUCCCAAUGUCAACAAUGAGAAGAAAGCAUUACCUGGGUGAUUGAGGUCCCAGAUGAUGGAUGUUUCUUUCCAAAAUGCAGUCUGGGUAUAGAACUAUACGUAUUAUAGCAGUGGCUAGUGUGUUGAAAUUCUGGUGCUACAAAUGUGAUUGAAAUCCACAACUAUGAUAUAAAAUGUUAUCAGGGCAAAAUGUUUCUUAUUUAGUGAUGGCAUCAUAAAGUACCUUAAGCGUUUAAUUAUAGUUGGCCCCUAGAGGUAAACUCCAGCAAGUUUGAGCACAAGCCAUCAAACGGUCCUCAUACAUUAGCCCUUUCAUUCCCAAGAUUAUUCUCAUGAACAUCCUUUGGACCUUCUCCAAUGCCACCACAUCCUUUCUUGGAUUUGCAUGCCAAAACUUCUCACAAUACUUCAAGUGCUGUCUGACUUGAAUGUCUUGACUGUCAAAUGUCUUAUAUAGCCUCAGCAUUACAUCCUUGCAUUUAUGAUGUACUUCUCUUGAAAUGAAUGCAAACAUUGCAUUUGUCUUCCUUACCAUUGGCUCAACCUGCAAGUACAAGAAGCAGUGCCUCAAAAAGGUGGCAUCCAUCAUUAAGGACCCCCAUCACUCAGGACAUGCUCUCUUCUCAGGAAGGAGGUACAGAAGACUGAAGACACACACCCUAUGAUUCAUAAACACCUUCUUCCCCUCUACUAUAUGAUUUCUGAAUGGACAUUAAACCCAGGAACACUACCUCA